Molecule: long non-coding RNA, 371 nt
Filed under: Citrus sinensis (sweet orange)
Lineage: Eukaryota; Viridiplantae; Streptophyta; Magnoliopsida; Sapindales; Rutaceae
Description: long non-coding RNA (CSIN_LNC004998)
Source: RNAcentral
UGCAAUUUAUAUUAUGGAUUUAAGCACAUCAUGACGAAGACUUUCACCUCUGAGUUUCCCCAUGUUGAGAGAUACUUUUGGACCGUGGCCAACCAACCAAAAAUUAAGAAGUUUUUGGGUGAUUUUAAGCAAGCCGAAUCUGUCCCAGCUGUUCAGUCUGCAAAGAAGCCUGCUCAAGCUAAGGAAUCUGCUAAACCAAAGGCCAAGGCGGAACCAAAGAAAGAAGCACCAAAGCCCAAAGCUGAAGCUGCUGAAGAAGAGGAAGCACCUAAGCCCAAACCAAAGAACCCUCUUGAUCUGCUGCCCCCAAGUAAGAUGAUUCUGGAUGACUGGAAGAGGCUUUACUCAAACACGAAGUCCAACUUCCGUGA